RNAcentral lists this long non-coding RNA (250 nucleotides) under Pelobates cultripes (western spadefoot toad). Lineage: Eukaryota; Metazoa; Chordata; Amphibia; Anura; Pelobatidae. The record is from RNAcentral.
UCUCCUAUCAGUGGACGUGUAUAUGGCAGCCAUUUUAGGAACCGUACACCUGGGACCCGAGCAAGGUCACCUCGUUCAACAGGCUUGCAGCGUAUCCUCCAGGAAGAAGAACCCUUACCGGCUGCACGUGUCUUACCUGUACAUGGAAAGCUGCUCUGGUUCCUUGAUGAGCCAGCUGCCCGUGAGUUAACAUGUCCCGUGGAGAAGCACUCUGUCCUGUAAAGCCUCACCAAAAAAAAGGAGUGGUGUG